Oncorhynchus masou masou (cherry salmon) is the source of this 2882-nucleotide long non-coding RNA. RefSeq lists it as uncharacterized. NCBI's taxonomy places the organism in Eukaryota, Metazoa, Chordata, Actinopteri, Salmoniformes, Salmonidae. The transcript has 4 exons. The record is from RefSeq and is a predicted model, not a curated record.
UUCAAAUAUUUCUGUUAUUGCCUGCUUCACAGCGGUAGCACACAAAAUAUGCUAGCUAUUUUAUUUUAUUUGAACGUUACGUGAAUGAGUCUGAGGGCAAAAUGUCAACUUAUAAUAUGUUCCAGUCAGAAACAACAUCGAUUAUGGCUUUUGUCGUCGAGACUGUAAUGAAAGAAAUUAGCCAUCUUUCAAACGCGCAACACUCGGACGCUAACGACUGCAGUAAACCUGAGAGAGAGCUUUGCACCAUGAUGAAUCUGGUGAUGGGGGAGGCUAUUCGUAAAAUCUGCCAACUAUUCCUAGUGACCACCUCACGUUUACAAAAUGAAAAUGGGAAACUGAAAACCAAGGUGGAGCAGAUGGAGGAAGAUAUGAAGACAAUAACUGAGAAGGCUGAACAUUAUAGAAUGUCUCUAGCUAAAGUAGAGGCACAAGCGGAACCGAAAGGACCUACCCAUGUUCUGCACAAUGGAAUCAUCUUUGCAAUUAAACCACUUGAUCUCCCAGUGUUGCCUGGAAUGACAGUGGGUUCAGCAUUGCCAGGGAAUGUCAGUCAAGCAAACCCUGUCACUAACGCAGCAUCAGUCCGUGCAGGUCCUGCAAAUGUUUGCAGUAAACCCACAGAGACGUCUUCAUUGGAGAACGACUCCUCUCUGGGAGACACAGAUGGACUGAAUACAGACCUCUCCCCAAGAGACACUGACUCCAACGUUGAGCAUAUGAGAGCUGCUCUGCCAGGGAGCAACGAGAGAGAUGGCCAUGAAAGCCAGAAAAACAGCAAUACUACUAAAGGGACACGAUCCAAAGAAACCAAACGCUUCAAGUGUGAUAUUUGUGAGAAGAUCUUCAGCAAGAAAGAGUUGUUGAGAGUUCACAAGUUAACGCAUACAAGACCCUUCAAGUGCGAUGUGUGUCAGAAGACCUUCACCAGGAAGGGGUUACUGGAAGCUCACAAGCUAAGUCACACAAGACCCUUCAAGUGUGAUGUUUGUGACAAGGUCUUCAACCUGAACCGCUUGCUGGUACGUCACAAGCUAAUUCACACAGGAGAGAGGCCAUUCGCUUGUGGUCAAUGUGGCAAAACAUUCAGAAUGUCCAAGCAGCUCGAACAUCACAUGGUGCGUCACAGAGAAAAAAUAUUCAGUUGCAAAGUUUGCGACAGUAUAUUCCCUGCCAAGAAAGAUCUGACACAACAUCGGCUUGUUCAUGCUUUGGAGAGACCGUUCAAGUGCCUGACUUGUGGAAAGGGUUUCACAUCAAGGGCCGCGCUUAUGGGGCACGAGAGAACCCACACCGGUGAAAAACCACACAGCUGUGCUGAAUGUGGGAAGAGUUACAGACUGUCUUAUGACCUAAGUAUUCAUAUGCGAAGACAUACAGGUGAACGUCCGCACUUAUGCUCAGAGUGUGGUAAGAGCUUUAUAACUAAAUCCAGCCUUGAAAACCACAAGGUAAUCCAUACAGGGGAGAAGCCAUUUAAAUGUGAGACCUGUGGAGCUGCUUUUGGCCAUAAAGCAAACCUUCAGAGACACCAAGUUCUUCACACAGGGGAGAGACCUUACAAAUGUAAAGUGUGUGGGAAAAGCUACCUUCAGUCCACCGACCUAAAAGCUCACAUGCACCGUCAUGGGGCAACCAAACCAUUUAUGUGUGACCUAUGUGGAAAGACUUUUAUUUACAAUUACCAAAUGAGACAGCACAAUAUAAAAUGGCACACAGCUGAAGGAGAGAACAUUCCUGGGGGAGUUGGAACCUUGACAAAGCCAUUCAGUUGUGAUGUAUGUUUGAAUGGCUUCUGCUCCAUGCUAACUCUGAAAAAGCAUCAAGAAAUUCACACAGGACAAAAUCAAUACUCUUGUUCUGUUUGCGGGAAGACCUUUGCCUAUAAAAAUACUUUGGACUAUCACAUGAAACUUCACAGUGGAGAGAAGCCCCAUGAGUGUAAAUACUGUGGAAGAAAAUUCAUUCUUAAGCAAGCUCUCAAAGGACAUGAGCGAACCCAUACAGGUGAAAAGCCCUUCAAAUGCAGUUAUUGUGACAAGACUUUCUCAGUCAACAGCAAUCUCAAAAGGCAUGAGCGAGUCCACACGGGAGAGAAGCCAUUCAAAUGUGACGUCUGCGGGAGAGGUUUCAGCCAAGCCAACAACGUCAAAGCCCACAUGCAAGUCCACACUGGAGUUAGGCCUUAUUAUUGCAAGAGAUGUGGAAAGGGCUUUUCUGACAUAAGACACUACAAAAACCAUAGCUGUAAUGGUGUGGCAGUGACACGCAAUCAGUCUCGUAAACCUUCUGACCGCACUUUCAGAAGUAGGAAAGGAGGUAGAGACAGGAGUGCUUGCCAUAAUGCUGCUGUGAUGUCGACUCAGUGAUAUAAUCAUUCAUUCACAGUGGGGCAACUUCCUGCUUUCAGACAUCAGGAACAACAUGGAUGUAUUCAGUAGGGUUAAAAGUUCUCGGGUGAGUUUCUGGAAAGCCUCGUAGGAAAUGAGAGGCAUAUCUGUCGUAAUGCUUGGAGAUUUUGCUGUAAGUCUUAGUCAAUGUUCAUGAGCCCACAUUGUCAUGGAGACGUUGUAUAUUUCUGACUGUGUUCAAUCAUUUACCAUGUGUUAUUUUCUUUUCUGUUGUGUAACUCCUUAAACACCUAAUUAAUGUGAAAAUAUCAGAACUACACAUUAAUACUUUGUCCAUCAGCUACAUAGGACCGCUUGAUUAGUUAUUCAGGUGAUUGUCCUGAUUGGGCAAGAAUUUUGAAAGAAUUCUUGUUUUUAAAGGUCCAAUUUGGCUGUUUCUAUAUCAAUAUCAUAUAAUUUAUUGGUAACAAUUGAAGUACCUAAUUUUUGCUUGUUUUCAAUUAAAAUGGUCAAAUAUAUAUUUUAAAAUCA